Molecule: transfer RNA, 77 nt
Filed under: Campylobacter sp.
Lineage: Bacteria; Pseudomonadati; Campylobacterota; Epsilonproteobacteria; Campylobacterales; Campylobacteraceae
Also listed under: 13 other names
Description: tRNA-Glu
Source: RNAcentral
GAGCCUUUCGUCUAGUGGCCCAGGACGCUGUAUCCUCAAUGCAGAAACGCAUCGUUCGAAUCGUGCAAGGCUCGCCA